RNAcentral lists this transfer RNA (118 nucleotides) under Hortaea werneckii. RNAcentral's name for it is "tRNA-Ser". It matches the Rfam family "tRNA". From Rfam's summary of the family: Transfer RNA (tRNA) molecules are approximately 80 nucleotides in length. Their secondary structure includes four short double-helical elements and three loops (D, anti-codon, and T loops). The record is from RNAcentral. Lineage: Eukaryota; Fungi; Ascomycota; Dothideomycetes; Mycosphaerellales; Teratosphaeriaceae. RNAcentral also lists the same sequence under 1 other name.
GGCGGAGUAGCAAAGUGGUUACUGCGAUUGACUCGAAGUGGUUUAGUUUAGUGUACCAAUUACGAACCAUAGCAAUCAAUUGCCUUCGGGCGCGCAGGUUCGAAUCCUGCCUCCGUCG